RNAcentral lists this ribosomal RNA (468 nucleotides) under uncultured bacterium. RNAcentral's name for it is "partial 16S ribosomal RNA". It matches the Rfam family "Bacterial small subunit ribosomal RNA", at positions 28 to 507 of the family's 1533-position model. The record is from RNAcentral.
GACGAACGCUGGCGGCGUGCUUAACACAUGCAAGUCGAACGGAAAGGCCCUGCUUUUGUGGGGUGCUCGAGUGGCGAACGGGUGAGUAACACGUGAGUAACCUGCCCUUGACUUUGGGAUAACUUCAGGAAACUGGGGCUCAUACCGGAUAGGAGCUCCUGCUGCAUGGUGGGGGUUGGAAAGUUUCGGCGGUUGGGGAUGGACUCGCGGCUUAUCAGCUUGUUGGUGGGGUAGUGGCUUACCAAGGCUUUGACGGGUAGCCGGCCUGAGAGGGUGACCGGCCACAUUGGGACUGAGAUACGGCCCAGACUCCUACGGGAGGCAGCAGUGGGGAAUAUUGCACAAUGGGCGGAAGCCUGAUGCAGCAACGCCGCGUGCGUGAUGACGGCCUUCGAGUUGUAAACCGCUUUCGCCUGUGACGAAGCGUGAGUGACGGUAAUGGGUAAAGAAGCACCGGCUAACUACGUG